GAUGAACGCUGGCGGCGUGCCUAAUACAUGCAAGUCGAGCGAACAGACGAGGAGCUUGCUCCUCUGACGUUAGCGGCGGACGGGUGAGUAACACGUGGAUAACCUACCUAUAAGACUGGGAUAACUUCGGGAAACCGGAGCUAAUACCGGAUAACAUGUUGAACCGCAUGGUUCAACAGUGAAAGACGGUCUUGCUGUCACUUAUAGAGGGAUCCGCGCCGCAUUAGCUAGUUGGUAAGGUAACGGCUUACCAAGGCAACGAUGCGUAGCCGACCUGAGAGGGUGAUCGGCCACACUGGAACUGAGACACGGUCCAGACUCCUACGGGAGGCAGCAGUAGGGAAUCUUCCGCAAUGGGCGAAAGCCUGACGGAGCAACGCCGCGUGAGUGAAGAAGGUCUUCGGAUCGUAAAACUCUGUUAUUAGGGAAGAACAAAUGUGUAAGUAACUAUGCACGUCUUGACGGUACCUAAUCAGAAAGCCACGGCUAACUACGUG
Molecule: ribosomal RNA, 497 nt
Filed under: uncultured bacterium
Lineage: Bacteria
Description: partial 16S ribosomal RNA
Rfam family: Bacterial small subunit ribosomal RNA
Source: RNAcentral